AUGAACGCUGGCGGCGUGCCUAAUACAUGCCAGUCGAGCGAACGGACGAGAAGCUUGCUUCUCUGAUGUUAGCGGCGGACGGGUGAGUAACACGUGGAUAACCUACCUAUAAGACUGGGAUAACUUCGGGAAACCGGAGCUAAUACCGGAUAAUAUUUUGAACCGCCUGGUUCAAAAGUGAAAGACGGUCUUGCUGUCACUUAUAGAUGGAUCCGCGCUGCAUUAGCUAGUUGGUAAGGUAACGGCUUACCAAGGCAACGAUGCAUAGCCGACCUGAGAGGGUGAUCGGCCACACUGGAACUGAGACACGGUCCAGACUCCUACGGGAGGCAGCAGUAGGGAAUCUUCCGCAAUGGGCGAAAGCCUGACGGAGCAACGCCGCGUGAGUGAUGAAGGUCUUCGGAUCGUAAAACUCUGUUAUUAGGGAAGAACAUAUGUGUAAGUAACUGUGCACAUCUUGACGGGACCUAAUCAGAAAGCCACGGCUAACUACGU
Molecule: ribosomal RNA, 495 nt
Filed under: uncultured bacterium
Lineage: Bacteria
Description: partial 16S ribosomal RNA
Rfam family: Bacterial small subunit ribosomal RNA
Source: RNAcentral